CCUACGGGUGGCAGCAGUGAGGAAUAUUGGUCAAUGGACGAGAGUCUGAACCAGCCAAGUAGCGUGAAGGAUGACUGCCCUAUGGGUUGUAAACUUCUUUUAUAAAGGAAUAAAACGAGGCACGUGUGCCUUUUUGCAUGUACUUUAUGAAUAAGGAUCGGCUAACUCCGUGCCAGCAGCCGCGGUAAUACGGAGGAUCCGAGCGUUAUCCGGAUUUAUUGGGUUUAAAGGGAGCGUAGAUGGGUUGUUAAGUCAGUGGUGAAAGUUCGCGGCUCAACCGUAAAAUUGCAAUUGAUACUGGCAGUCGUGAGUACAGUUGAGGUAGGCGGAAUUCGUGGUGUAGCGGUGAAAUGCUUAGAUAUCACGAAGAACCCCGAUUGCGAAGGCAGCUUACUAAACUGUGACUGACAUUGAUGCUCGAAAGUGUGGGUAUCAAACAGGAUUAGAUACCCGGGUAGUC
Molecule: ribosomal RNA, 460 nt
Filed under: uncultured bacterium
Lineage: Bacteria
Description: partial 16S ribosomal RNA
Rfam family: Bacterial small subunit ribosomal RNA
Source: RNAcentral